GAUCAUGGCUCAGGAUGAACGCUAGCUACAGGCUUAACACAUGCAAGUCGAGGGGCAUCAGUUUGGUUUGCUUGCAAACCAAAGCUGGCGACCGGCGCACGGGUGAGUAACACGUAUCCAACCUGCCUACCACUUGGGGAUAACCUUGCGAAAGUAAGACUAAUACCCAAUGACAUCCCACGAAGACAUCUGAAUGGGAUUAAAGAUUUAUCGGUGAUGGAUGGGGAUGCGU
Molecule: ribosomal RNA, 232 nt
Filed under: uncultured bacterium
Lineage: Bacteria
Description: partial 16S ribosomal RNA
Rfam family: Bacterial small subunit ribosomal RNA
Source: RNAcentral